GGGCAGCCAGCCAGAACAGAAGAAAUCGGAGCGAUUGUGUUGUCAAAGGGACAGACACGAGAGCACAUUCAUACCCGGAGAGGUUAGGAGGGAGAAGGGCUGUUCUGAGGACAGAGCCACACAUCCAGCCAAUCAGAGGGCUGCAGAGUACAGCCCAUGCUAUGGAAGAGUCCCCAUUACACCAGCUUCCACUUCCCUGGGCCAGUGGAUGGGAGCAGAAGUCAGUGGUGAACCAUCUUCUGGGGAGCUAUCAAGAGCAAACCCAUCUCUUUCACACGCCCCAACCCUGUUUUUUUUAGAACAUUCCAGAUCUGGCAACGCAGGAGCCUCCAUGCCACGUUUGCCUGCAAUCUGCUGUUGCUGGCCAAUCGGUGUUUUUCCUUGGAGUGACUCCAUCAGCACUCACACCCAGCGUGUGGUGCGGUCUGCUCACUCUGGUUCACACCAGGAUCGUGGCGCCGUUAUUAAUGGUUUAUCAUCAUAGAAACGGAGGAACUUCAGUGGUCAAAAUACCAGAUGAUGACUUUCAAAGCUGUAGACCUUGAGGGCGGAGCCCUUACCCUCCCCUCCCUCGGAUUGCCUCUGAGCUAUCACAUGCAUGUUUGAACACACAUUAACAUUUGAGCUUACCUGGUGACUCAGUGGCCUCGGUCAUGGCACCAUCCGUGUGUUUGGGCUUUCUGAUUCUGAGUUCUUCUAUUCCUUGAGGGGAUGAAGAGGUCAUUUAAUUCCCUUGGUCCUAUGAUGUAGGAAGUCCUUCUGUAUAUUUUAUUGUUUUGUUGGUUAUUGAAUAAAGAAUCUGCAUUGGCCUGUGGUA
Myodes glareolus (Bank vole) is the source of this 817-nucleotide non-coding RNA. The record is from RefSeq and is a predicted model, not a curated record. Lineage: Eukaryota; Metazoa; Chordata; Mammalia; Rodentia; Cricetidae.